Molecule: ribosomal RNA, 180 nt
Filed under: uncultured Glomeromycotina
Lineage: Eukaryota; Fungi; Glomeromycota
Description: partial small subunit ribosomal RNA
Source: RNAcentral
GGCUCGGCAAGCUGGUCCAUCAAACGAUGGUACUGGUCAUGUCGGGUCUUACCUUCUGGGGAACCAAGGUGCUCUUUACUGAAUGCUUUGGGGAACCAGGACCUUUACUUUGAAAAAAUUAGAGUGUUUAAAGCAGGCUAACGUCUGAAUACAUUAGCAUGGAAUAAUGAAAUAGGACGG